This 221-nucleotide ribosomal RNA is filed under the name uncultured bacterium. RNAcentral describes it as "partial 16S ribosomal RNA". It matches the Rfam family "Bacterial small subunit ribosomal RNA", at positions 118 to 337 of the family's 1533-position model. The record is from RNAcentral.
UGAGGAACAUGACCUUCGGCGGGGGAUAGCCGGCCCAACGGCCGGGUAAUACCGCGUACGACCACAUGGGGACAUCCCUGAGUGGUGAAAGCAGCAAUGCGCCGAUGGAGUGCCUCGCGGCCUAUCAGCUAGUUGGUGAGGUAACGGCUCACCAAGGCGACGACGGGUAGCUGGUCUGAGAGGAUGGCCAGCCACAUUGGGACUGAGACACGGCCCAGACU